Molecule: ribosomal RNA, 492 nt
Filed under: uncultured bacterium
Lineage: Bacteria
Description: partial 16S ribosomal RNA
Rfam family: Bacterial small subunit ribosomal RNA
Source: RNAcentral
AGUGAACGCUGGCGGUAGGCCUAACACAUGCAAGUCGAACGGCAGCACAGUAAGAGCUUGCUCUUACGGGUGGCGAGUGGCGGACGGGUGAGGAAUACAUCGGAAUCUACUUUUUCGUGGGGGAUAACGUAGGGAAACUUACGCUAAUACCGCAUACGACCUACGGGUGAAAGUAGGGGAUCUUCGGACCUUGCGCGAUUGAAUGAGCCGAUGUCGGAUUAGCUAGUUGGCGGGGUAAAGGCCCACCAAGGCGACGAUCCGUAGCUGGUCUGAGAGGAUGAUCAGCCACACUGGAACUGAGACACGGUCCAGACUCCUACGAGAGGCAGCAGUGGGGAAUAUUGGACAAUGGGCGCAAGCCUGAUCCAGCCAUACCGCGUGGGUGAAGAAGGCCUUCGGGUUGUAAAGCCCUUUUGUUGGGAAAGAAAAGCAGCAGGUUAAUACCCCGCUGUUCUGACGGUACCCAAAGAAUAAGCACCGGCUAACUUCGUG